GGAUGAACGCUAGCGGCAGGCCUAACACAUGCAAGUCGGGCGGUAGGGGACUUCGGUCCCCGAGAGCGGCGCACGGGUGCGUAACGCGUAUGCAACCUGCCCUACACAGGGGAAUAGCCCGUCGAAAGGCGGAUUAAUGCCCCAUGGUCCCGAGAGGUGGCAUCACCUUUAGGGUAAAGGUUUACCGGUGUAGGAUGGGCAUGCGUGCCAUUAGCUGGACGGUGGGGUAACGGCCCACCGUGGCGACGAUGGCUAGGGGUUCUGAGAGGAAGGCCCCCCACACUGGGACUGAGACACGGCCCAGACUCCUACGGGAGGCAGCAGUGAGGAAUAUUGGUCAAUGGGCGGAAGCCUGAACCAGCCAUGCCGCGUGCGGGAAGAAGGCGCUACGCGUCGUAAACCGCUUUUGUCCGGGGGUAACCGCGGGGACGAGUCCCCGCCUGCAAGUACCGGACGAAUAAGGGUCGGCUAACUCCGUGCCAGCAGCCGCGGUAAUACGGAGGACCCGAGCGUUAUCCGGAUUCAUUGGGUUUAAAGGGUGCGCAGGCGGCCCGGUCAGUCAGCGGUGAAAUGCCCGCGCUCCACGCGGGAGCUGCCGUUGAUACUGCCGGGCUGGAGUCUUAGCGAGGCGGGCGGAAUG
This 640-nucleotide ribosomal RNA is filed under the name uncultured Bacteroidota bacterium. RNAcentral's name for it is "bacterial SSU rRNA". It matches the Rfam family "Bacterial small subunit ribosomal RNA", at positions 27 to 668 of the family's 1533-position model. Lineage: Bacteria; Pseudomonadati; Bacteroidota. The record is from RNAcentral.